This 410-nucleotide ribosomal RNA is filed under the name Staphylococcus capitis. RNAcentral describes it as "bacterial SSU rRNA". It matches the Rfam family "Bacterial small subunit ribosomal RNA", at positions 1122 to 1533 of the family's 1533-position model. Lineage: Bacteria; Bacillati; Bacillota; Bacilli; Caryophanales; Staphylococcaceae. The record is from RNAcentral.
CAUUAAGUUGGGCACUCUAAGUUGACUGCCGGUGACAAACCGGAGGAAGGUGGGGAUGACGUCAAAUCAUCAUGCCCCUUAUGAUUUGGGCUACACACGUGCUACAAUGGACAAUACAAAGGGUAGCGAAACCGCGAGGUCAAGCAAAUCCCAUAAAGUUGUUCUCAGUUCGGAUUGUAGUCUGCAACUCGACUACAUGAAGCUGGAAUCGCUAGUAAUCGUAGAUCAGCAUGCUACGGUGAAUACGUUCCCGGGUCUUGUACACACCGCCCGUCACACCACGAGAGUUUGUAACACCCGAAGCCGGUGGAGUAACCUUUUGGAGCUAGCCGUCGAAGGUGGGACAAAUGAUUGGGGUGAAGUCGUAACAAGGUAGCCGUAUCGGAAGGUGCGGCUGGAUCACCUCCUUU